UGGGACAGCUCUGAAGGGCAUCC
This 23-nucleotide non-coding RNA is filed under the name Cricetulus griseus (Chinese hamster). Lineage: Eukaryota; Metazoa; Chordata; Mammalia; Rodentia; Cricetidae. The record is from RNAcentral.